ACUGGGAUAGCUGGGUCAAAAGGUAAUUCCAUUCCAAAUUUUCCAAGAAAUCUCCAUACUGCUUUCCAGAUUGGUUGCACCAAUUUACAGUCCCAACAGCAAU
Molecule: microRNA precursor, 103 nt
Filed under: Marmota monax (woodchuck)
Lineage: Eukaryota; Metazoa; Chordata; Mammalia; Rodentia; Sciuridae
Source: RNAcentral